GACGGAGGGGGCAAGCGUUGUCCGGACUUACUGGGCGUAAAGCGCACGUAGGCGGCGCGGUGCGUCGGUGCUGAAAGCGCCCCGCUUAACGGGGCGAGGUGUGCCGAUACGACCGGGCUGGAGGCCGACAGAGGGUGGCGGAAUUCCGGGUGUAGUGGUGAAAUGCGUAGAGAUCCGGAGGAACGCCUGUGGCGCAAGCGGCCACCUGGGUCGGACCUGACGCUGAGGUGCGAAAGCGUGGGGAG
RNAcentral lists this ribosomal RNA (245 nucleotides) under uncultured bacterium. RNAcentral describes it as "partial 16S ribosomal RNA". It matches the Rfam family "Bacterial small subunit ribosomal RNA", at positions 524 to 768 of the family's 1533-position model. The record is from RNAcentral.